AGCAGCCGCGGUAAUUCCAGCUCCAAUAGCGUAUAUUAAAGUUGUUGCAGUUAAAAAGCUCGUAGUUGAAUUUCGGGAUUUAUCCGUCGGUCGGGCUUUCGGGUCUGUACUGGCGUGAUGGAUUCCUACCUUCUGAAUAACCGGCAUGUCAUUAAUUUGGUGCGCCGGGGAAGCAGGACUGUUACCUUGAAAAAUUAGAGUGCUUAAAGCAGGCUUAUGCCUGAAUACAUUAGCAUGGAAUAAUGAAAUAGGACGGCAUGGUUCUAUUUUGUUGGUUUCUAGGAUUCGCCGUAAUGAUUAAUAGGGAUAGUUGGGGGCAUUAGUAUUCAAUUGUCAGAGGUGAAAUUCUUGGAUUUAUUGAAGACUAACUUCUGCGAAAGCACUUGCCAAGGAUGUUUUCAUUAAUCAAGAACGAAAGUUAGGGGAUCGAAGACGAUCAGAUACCGUCGU
RNAcentral lists this ribosomal RNA (450 nucleotides) under uncultured Acaulospora. Its description in RNAcentral is "SSU rRNA". It matches the Rfam family "Eukaryotic small subunit ribosomal RNA", at positions 569 to 1021 of the family's 1831-position model. The record is from RNAcentral. Lineage: Eukaryota; Fungi; Glomeromycota; Glomeromycetes; Diversisporales; Acaulosporaceae.